CUCCAGACUCCUACGGGAGGCAGCAGUGGGGGAUAUUGCACAAUGGGGGGAACCCUGAUGCAGCGACGCCGCGUGGGUGAAGGAGUAUUUCGGUAUGUAAAGCCCUAUCGGCAGGGAAGAAGCAAGACGGUACCUGACUAAGAAGCCCCGGCUAACUACGUGCCAGCAGCCGCGGUAAUACGUAGGGGGCGAGCGUUAUCCGGAUUCACUGGGUGUAAAGGGAGCGUAGACGGCCAUGCAAGCCAGGGGUGAAAGCCCGGGGCUCAACCCCGGGACUGCAUUUGGAACUGUAAGGCUAGAGUGUCGGAGAGGCAGGCGGAAUUCCUAGUGUAGCGGUGAAAUGCGUAGAUAUUAGGAGGAACACCAGUGGCGAAGGCGGCCUGCUGGACGAUGACUGACGUUGAGGCUCGAAAGCGUGGGGAGCAAACAGGAUUAGAUACCCGAGUA
RNAcentral lists this ribosomal RNA (447 nucleotides) under uncultured bacterium. RNAcentral describes it as "bacterial SSU rRNA". It matches the Rfam family "Bacterial small subunit ribosomal RNA", at positions 329 to 792 of the family's 1533-position model. The record is from RNAcentral.